UACAGAGGGUGCGAGCGUUGUCCGGAAUUACUGGGCGUAAAGAGCUCGUAGGUGGUUUGUCGCGUUGUUCGUGAAAACUCACAGCUCAACUGUGGGCGUGCGGGCGAUACGGGCAGACUUGAGUACUGCAGGGGAGACUGGAAUUCCUGGUGUAGCGGUGGAAUGCGCAGAUAUCAGGAGGAACACCGGGGGGGAAGGCGGGUCUCUGGGCCUUACCUGACGCUGAGGAGCGAAAGCGUGGGGAGCGAACAGG
This 253-nucleotide ribosomal RNA is filed under the name uncultured bacterium. RNAcentral describes it as "partial 16S ribosomal RNA". It matches the Rfam family "Bacterial small subunit ribosomal RNA", at positions 524 to 776 of the family's 1533-position model. The record is from RNAcentral.